Poecile atricapillus (Black-capped chickadee) is the source of this 337-nucleotide long non-coding RNA. RefSeq lists it as uncharacterized. NCBI's taxonomy places the organism in Eukaryota, Metazoa, Chordata, Aves, Passeriformes, Paridae. The record is from RefSeq and is a predicted model, not a curated record. The transcript is spliced from 3 exons.
GCUUGAGCUGAAAAACUGACCACUGUAUACUGAUGUUAAAUGUUUGGAAACGAGAAAUUCAGAGGACUGUAUAACAGCAUCAGUGUAACAGACCUCCUGUGUAUAUUUGAACCUAUUGGUCAGUGGCUGCUUAAGACCUUCCUGAUGCUGAAGGUCUGAUGUCAUGUUCCAAGUGACUUAUGCAGUCAGCAGUGCAGACUGAGGAAAUGGGAGGGUGAAUUUGGGAAGUGAAGUCGACAGGAAGAUGACACAGUGCUGAUAAAGUAAAGUAAGGCAGGCUUUGCAGUUGUGCCAAGUUCUGUAGCUUCACUGCUGAAGUGCCUGCAGGCCACCUAUG